Molecule: non-coding RNA, 99 nt
Filed under: Aotus nancymaae (Ma's night monkey)
Lineage: Eukaryota; Metazoa; Chordata; Mammalia; Primates; Aotidae
Source: RNAcentral
GAUAAUCAUGGUAGUGAGUUAUCUCGAUUGUUCACAGUUACAGAUUGAACUCUUUUCUACUCUUUCCCCAUUCUCACUACUGCAGUGGACUAGUCUUAA